RNAcentral lists this ribosomal RNA (253 nucleotides) under uncultured bacterium. Its description in RNAcentral is "partial 16S ribosomal RNA". It matches the Rfam family "Bacterial small subunit ribosomal RNA", at positions 524 to 776 of the family's 1533-position model. The record is from RNAcentral.
UACAGAGGUCUCAAGCGUUGUUCGGAUUUACUGGGCGUAAAGCGCGUGUAGGCGGCCCUGCAAGUCGGAUGUGAAAUCCCACGGCUCAACCGUGGAAGUGCAUUCGAAACUGCAGGGCUAGAGUCCUGGAGAGGAAGGUGGAAUGCUUGGUGUAGAGGUGAAAUUCGUAGAUAUCAAGCGGAACACCGGUGGCGAAGGCGGCCUUCUGGACAGUGACUGACGCUGAGACGCGAAAGCGUGGGGAGCAAACAGG